GAUCUUAGCUAGAUCUUCUGGAUAACUUGCUGCAGUUUUUUCAUCAGUGCUUCCUGCUUAACCUUGCACUUUUAUGUUACAGAGAUGUCUUCUUUGGAACCUUAUGAACCAAUCUCUGCUAGUGUCCAGCUUUUAUCCCGCAGCUUCCUCACCUCUCUCAGCCUUCAUAGAAUUUAAAAGUUAGGGCCUUGCUCUGGAUUAGGCUUGGGCUUAAGCAAAUGUAGUGACUGUUUUGAUCUGUCCAGAUCACUAAAACUUUCUCAAUAUCAGCAAUAAGGCAACUUUGCCUAUUUAUCAUUCUUGUGUUCACUGGAGUAGCACUUCUAAUUUUCUUCAAUAACUUUUUCUUUGCAUUCACAGCACGGCUAACCAACUCGUACAAGAGGUGUAAACUUUUGGCCUAGCUCAGCCUUCAACAUGGCUUUCUCACUAAACUUAAUCAUUUCCAGCUUUUGAUUUAAAGUGAGAUAUAUAUGACUUUUUCUUUGACUUGAACUCUUAGAGACUAUAUAAUAUGGUUGUUAUUUGGCCUAAUUUUAUUAUUGGUGUGUGGCAGGAGAGACACACACCAAUAUGUGAGGGAGAGAGAUGAGGAAAUGGACAGCUGGUGGAGCAGUCAGAACUCACACAUUUAUUAAGUUUGCUGUCUUAUAUUGGCACAAUUGCUGGCAUUCACCCGUGCAAGCAUCUAGUGUUCCUUUUUAUGUCUGCAGCUUGAUUUUACAGGCUGCUCUUUGUUAGAAAAGAAAAUGAUUUGGGGGCUGCUUUUCAUUAAAGGAAAACCUUACUGAGGGUUUCUUUGCCCUCACUAUCUGCCUAAAUAAUUUCUUUUUAACAUCCUCUAGUGCUAUGGGAGAGAUUUCUUCUUUUCUUUCUUUUUUAGAGACAGUUUUGCUCUAUCACCAAGGCUGGAUUGCACUGGCAUGAUCUUGGCUCACUGCAUCCUCCACUUCCCGGGUUCAAGCAAUUCUCUGCCUCAGCAUCCCAAGUAGCAGGGAUUACAGGCGCCUGCCACCACACCUGGCUAAUUUUUGUGUUUAUAUUAGACACAGGGUUUCACCAUCUUAGCCAGGCUGGUCUUGAAUUCCUGACCUUGUGAUCCACU
RNAcentral lists this long non-coding RNA (1105 nucleotides) under Callithrix jacchus (white-tufted-ear marmoset). RNAcentral describes it as "lncRNA (ENSCJAG00000072974.1)". The record is from RNAcentral. Lineage: Eukaryota; Metazoa; Chordata; Mammalia; Primates; Cebidae.